GGAAGACUUGUUAGCUAUUGUUCCUCCUUUGGAUGGAGAUUUGAAGCUACAGAUUUGCGUCCUAUGGAUCAGAAGCUUUGCACACCUGUGCAUUUUCCACCUGGUUGCAAAUCUGGAGUUGGCCAUGUUCAUGGAGAGACCUGUCUUCAGAAGCAUGUCAAAAACGUUAGGCGGAUUCUGUAGUUAUAUUGUUUUUACCGGUGUGUGGACAACCCUCUCUUCUGCAGCUUCCUUCAGUGUCGCCACAGAUUUAAGACUUCUGCUUUGAAGUUGUGCCUUCCUAACGUACUGUGAACGGGAAUCUGCUCUUAAAGCCCAGAGUGCAUUGCACGAACAGAAGACUCUACCAGGGAUGAACAGGCCAAUCCAGGUGAAACCAGCGGACAGCGAAAGCCGAGGAGGUAGCUGAUUUCUUUCUUUAUAGCUUCUGGCAUGGUGAUGUGACAUUGUUAGGUUUGUGGGAUUUUCGAGCUGCGUGGAGAUCCGUUAGUAACACAAUCUGCCUCCACACCCAAUUCUCGAGACAGCUCUUCAUUAAAUCGCCUUCAGGUUGCGUCGCCGUGGCUCAUAUUCAAUUAUUAUUUGAUUUUUUUUUAAAAAAAGGGACCGAUAGUUGCUUAGGAAGCAGCUAGGAAUCCCUGUUAAGAAACACACACUUGGGUGUUGACUUAGCAAAAGUUUUAUGAUUGCCACCUUGAUUUGUUGGUGUGUUUUUCUAAGGCUGAGCUGUUGACCAUCAUGUGAGUUUGUUCGGUCCUUGUUCUUUCAUUUCAUGGUUUAAGGGGGAAUGAAAGCAAGGUUUGACUUUAUGGGCCGCCGAAGGCCUUGUAAUGAUUUGAUGUUGCUUUUUAUCGGUCCUACCACAUCUUAAUCAAGGUGUGUUAAAUCACUGGCUAACUUUCUGCUUGUAGUCCAAUUAUAACAUCACCCAACGAGAUUGGUUGUUUCCUUUGGGAGCACAGCGUCACGAUCUAUCUAUCAAAAUUUGAAGAAGAAAAAAUGUUGCAAAAUGGCAUCUAUUUUAUUACUAAGAUUUGCGAGUGGGGUGGAGUGGUGCGGUGGCCUGGAGGUGGAGCUCUGGCCUCACAGUCAGGAGGCUGUGAGUUCGGUCCUAGGUGGAGGCAGAUAUUUCUCUCUCUGAGCACACUGAGAAUAUAUCUGCUGAACAAAACUCCACAUUGGCAACAGGAAAGGCAUCUGGCCAGUAAACACUCUGCUAACUCCAUUCAGUUGCCCAGGCUCCACCCCGCAAGCGAUUAUGGGGUCAUUAAAAGAGGAUGAUGAUUUUCCUGUGGGAUGAUAAGGAUGGUUUAGAGGGCUUAACAGAUUUGUGGAAUAUCUGGGGGAAAAGAGCACCAGAUAUCUCGAUGGACCAGUUUUUUGUUCUUUCGCUAAUCUUUCAGAUAUUUUGUAUGAUGCCAGUUGGUUGAAUUUGUGUUGUGUUGCUGGUUGUGUUAUCUUCUGUGUCAGAACUGGAAUUUGCUAGCAGGCAGCCCAGAUAUUAGGGUGUCUACACGGAGAGUCAAAAAAUCUUGAGAUGAUGGACUUGAAUCACACAGAGAGGGUGAACAUCUGGAAAGAAUUUGACCCACCCAGUGGAAGGUCCCUGACAGAUUCCCAAAAGGGGCUAAGGAAAACAGGUGUUGAACUGUUGCAGUUUUGGAGAAUACAUGUGCAAUGCUGAUUUUAUCUUGGAGGGAUUAUGGAUUGCUCACCCCUCAUCAACCACGGUGGGCAAAUAUUAGGGAUGUAUCAAUUAGCCCUGGUCCAAUUGGAACCAAUAAUCCACUUUGGGGGGG
Non-coding RNA from Pantherophis guttatus, 1799 nucleotides. Lineage: Eukaryota; Metazoa; Chordata; Lepidosauria; Squamata; Colubridae. The record is from RefSeq and is a predicted model, not a curated record.